This 1219-nucleotide ribosomal RNA is filed under the name metagenome. RNAcentral describes it as "SSU rRNA". It matches the Rfam family "Eukaryotic small subunit ribosomal RNA", at positions 558 to 1759 of the family's 1831-position model. The record is from RNAcentral.
AGUCUGGUGCCAGCACCCGCGGUAAUUCCAGCUCCAAUAGUGUAUAUUAUGGUUGCUGUAGUUAAAACGCUCGUAGUUGGAUUUCGGAAUGCGUUCGACCAAAGCCCGUCUCAAUGGCGUGGCUCGGUGGGUGCUUCCAUCACUUUUAGGCUUAACGGGCGUCAGUCCUUCGGGGUUGGCGUUUUCGUUCCUAAUCGUUUACUGUGAACAAAUUAGAGCGUUCAAAGCAGGUGUCUCUGCCUUGAAUAGUUUAGCAUGGGAUAAUAGAAUAGGACCUUUCCGGUUUUAUUUUGUUGGUUUCUAAAGCUGGGGUAAUGAUUAAUAGGGACAGUUGGGGUCGGUCGUAUUGAAUCGUCAGAGGUGAAAUUCUAGGAUUGAUUCAAGACGAACUGAUGCGAAAGCGUCCGACAAGGAUGUUUCCGUUAAUCAAGAACGAAAGUUGGGGGAUCGAAGAUGAUCAGAUACCGUCGUAGUCCUAACCCUAAACGAUGUGGACCAAGGAUCCGAGGAUGUUACAUGGAUGACUCUCCGGGCACUUUGUGAGAAAUCAUUGAGUAUUUGCACUCCGGGGGGAGUAUGGCCGCAAGACUGAAACUUAAAGGAAUUGACGGAAGGGCACCACCAGGAGUGGAACCUGCGGCUUAAUUCGACCCAACACGGGAAACUUCACCAGGUCCGGACACAGUAAGGAUUGACAGAUUGAGAGCUCUUUCUUGAUUCUGUGAGUGGUGGUGCAUGGCCGUUUUUAGUUGGUGGAUUGAUUUGUCUUGUUAAUUCAGAUAACGAGCGAGACCUCAUCCUGCUAAUUAGUGAUGCGAACGUGGGUAGACCUUCGGGUUUAUCCUCCUUGUUCGUACGCAACUUCUUAGAGGGACUCUCGGCGUCUUUAGCCGAUGGAAGUCUGAGGCAAAAACAGGUCUGUAAUGCCCUUCGAUGUCCUGGGCUGCACGCGCGUUACACUGGCAGUUGCAACGAGUGACUUCCUGCCUCGGAAGGGGUGGGUAAACUUCGUAGGGGCUGCCGUGAUUGGGAUUGAUCCUUGCAAUUAUUGAUCAUGGACGAGGAAUUCCUAGUAAGCGCAGUUCAUCAGACUGCGCUGAUUACGUCCCUGCCCUUUGUACACACCGCCCGUCGCUUGUACCGAUUGAAUGGUCCGGUGAGGACUUAGGAUUAGUUCUUUUAGCUUCUCGCAAGGGAGGCGGGGGACUGAGAGUUUGUU